RNAcentral lists this ribosomal RNA (440 nucleotides) under uncultured bacterium. Its description in RNAcentral is "partial 16S ribosomal RNA". It matches the Rfam family "Bacterial small subunit ribosomal RNA", at positions 338 to 795 of the family's 1533-position model. The record is from RNAcentral.
CCUACGGGUGGCAGCAGUAGGGAAUAUUGCUCAAUGGGGGAAACCCUGAAGCAGCAACGCCGCGUGGAGGAUGAAGGUUUUCGGAUUGUAAACCCCUUUUUUUAUAGAAGAUAAUGACGGUAUCUAACCAAUAAGCACCGGCUAACUCCGUGCCAGCAGCCGCGGUAAUACGGAGGCAGCAAGCGUUACUCGGAAUCACUGGGCGUAAGGAGCGCGUAGGCGGGGUAGCAAGUCAGAUGUGAAAUCAUAGGGCUUAACCAUAGAACUGCAUUUGAAACUGUUAUUCUAGAGUAUGGGAGAGGGAGGCGGAAUUCUUGGUGGAGGGGUGAAAUGCGUAGAGAUCAAGAGGAAUACUCAUUGCGAAGGCGGCCUGCUAGAACAUAACUGACGCUGAUGCGCGAAAGCGUGGGGAGCAAACAGGAUUAGAUACCCCGGUAGUC